UUGAAAGAUGGUUUUGGCUAUCACUUUAGGAUGGACCCGCGGUGCAUUAGUUAGUUGGUGAGGUAAAGGCUCACCAAGACCGUGAUGCAUAGCCGACCUGAGAGGGUAAUCGGCCACACUGGGACUGAGACACGGCCCAGACUCCUACGGGAGGCAGCAGUAGGGAAUCUUCCACAAUGGACGAAAGUCUGAUGGAGCAACGCCGCGUGAGUGAAGAAGGUUUUCGGAUCGUAAAACUCUGUUGUUGGAGAAGAAUGUAUCUGAUAGUAACUGAUCAGGUAGUGACGGUAUCCAACCAGAAAGCCACGGCUAACUACGUGCCAGCAGCCGCGGUAAUACGUAGGUGGCAAGCGUUGUCCGGAUUUAUUGGGCGUAAAGCGAGCGCAGGCGGUUUCUUAAGUCUGAUGUGAAAGCCUUCGGCUCAACCGAAGAAGUGCAUCGGAAACUGGGAAACUUGAGUGCAGAAGAGGACAGUGGAACUCCAUGUGUAGCGGUGAAAUGCGUAGAUAUAUGGAAGAACACCAGUGGCGAAGGCGGCUGUCUGGUCUGUAACUGACGCUGAGGCUCGAAAGCAUGGGUAGCAAACAGGAUUAGAUACCCUGGUAGUCCAUGCCGUAAACGAUGAGUGCUAGGUGUUGGAGGGUUUCCGCCCUUCAGUGCCGCAGCUAACGCAUUAAGCACUCCGCCUGGGGAGUACGACCGCAAGGUUGAAACUCAAAGGAAUUGACGGGGGCCCGCACAAGCGGUGGAGCAUGUGGUUUAAUUCGAAGCAACGCGAAGAACCUUACCAGGUCUUGACAUCCUUUGACCACUCUAGAGAUAGAGCUUUCCCUUCGGGGACAAAGUGACAGGUGGUGCAUGGUUGUCGUCAGCUCGUGUCGUGAGAUGUUGGGUUAAGUCCCGCAACGAGCGCAACCCUUAUUACUAGUUGCCAGCAUUAAGUUGGGCACUCUAGUGAGACUGCCGGUGACAAACCGGAGGAAGGUGGGGACGACGUCAAAUCAUCAUGCCCCUUAUGACCUGGGCUACACACGUGCUACAAUGGAUGGUACAACGAGUUGCGAGACCGCGAGGUUUAGCUAAUCUCUUAAAACCAUUCUCAGUUCGGAUUGUAGGCUGCAACUCGCCUACAUGAAGCCGGAAUCGCUAGUAAUCGCGGAUCAGCAUGCCGCGGUGAAUACGUUCCCGGGCCUUGUACACACCGCCCGUCACACCAUGAGAGUUUGUAACACCCAAAGCCGGUGAGGUAACCCUUCGGGGAGCCAGCCGUCUAAGGUGGGACAGAUGAUUAGGGUGAAGUCGUAACAAGGUAGCCGUAGGAGAACCUGCGGCUGGAUCACCUCCUUUCUA
Molecule: ribosomal RNA, 1350 nt
Filed under: Latilactobacillus sakei subsp. sakei 23K
Lineage: Bacteria; Bacillati; Bacillota; Bacilli; Lactobacillales; Lactobacillaceae
Description: Lactobacillus sakei subsp. sakei 23K 16S ribosomal RNA
Rfam family: Bacterial small subunit ribosomal RNA
Source: RNAcentral